Molecule: ribosomal RNA, 427 nt
Filed under: uncultured bacterium
Lineage: Bacteria
Description: bacterial SSU rRNA
Rfam family: Bacterial small subunit ribosomal RNA
Source: RNAcentral
AAUGAACGUUGGCGGCGUGGAUUAGGCAUGCAAGUCGUACGCACAGCUUCGGCUGUGAGUGGCGCAAGGGUGAGUAAUGCGAAGGUAACCAACCCUGGAGUUGGGCAUAACCGCGGGAAACUGCGGGUAAUUCCCAGCGAUGUCUCGAGAUGGCAUCAUCUUGCGACCAAAGGUGUGAUUCCGCUCUAGGACGGGCCUUCGUGGUAUUAGGUAGUUGGUGAGGUAACGGCUCACCAAGCCGACGAUGCCUACCGGGUGUGAGAGCAUGACCCGGCACACUGGAACUGAGACACUGUCCAGACACCUACGGGUGGCUGCAGUCGAGAAUCUUCGGCAAUGGGCGAAAGCCUGACCGAGCGACGCCGCGUGAGGGAAGAAGGCCUCGGUUGUAAACCGUACUUUCGUAGAGGAGGAAGGGGACCGGUGC